RNAcentral lists this ribosomal RNA (253 nucleotides) under uncultured bacterium. Its description in RNAcentral is "partial 16S ribosomal RNA". It matches the Rfam family "Bacterial small subunit ribosomal RNA", at positions 524 to 776 of the family's 1533-position model. The record is from RNAcentral.
UACGUAGGGUGCAAGCGUUUAUCGGAAUUACUGGGCGUAAAGCGCGCGCAGGCGGUUUUGUAAGUCUGACGUGAAAUCCCCGGGCUCAACCUGGGAAUUGCGUUGGAGACUGCAAGGCUAGAAUCUGGCAGAGGGGGGUAGAAUUCCACGUGUAGCAGUGAGAUGCGUAGAGAUGUGGAGGAACACCGAUGGCGAAGGCAGCCCCCUGGGUCAAGAUUGACGCUCAUGCACGAAAGCGUGGGGAGCAAACAGG